CUAUUAAAAAUAUAGUGGAUAACUAGGAUGCAUCUAAAAUUUUUUUAACAACUUAAUAAAGAUUAGAUCUUUACCUGAUAUGCAGCAGAAUAAGAAUCAAAUCUCAAAGAUUCUGAAUCCAAAGCCGUGCAUAGAUCUAAAUUCACAAACCCUCUACUUCUUGCACACGUCAAACUUCAUAGACAAGCGAGAUAAAACCUCAGAUUGAAAUACCUUCGCAAGGCACCAAGAGAGGGGAGAGAGGCUUUUGGUGCGAUGCCUCACACUAGCAAGAGGGACGCCCAAGAUGCUCCAUGCCUUGGAGAAGGGGGAUGCCCAAAGGAAAGACGCCAAGGAUGGGUGAUGGCCACUCUAUCUUCACGCCUCCUCUUCCUCUUUUUCUCAUCUUAGCACAUAAUCCAAUUGUUAUGCCAUAAUAGUUAGAGAUCCUCCCUAUUUAUAGAUGAUUUUUCAUGACCCAUAAGACUAGGAUUCUUAAUUCAAAUAGGCUUUAAAUUAAUCCAUAACUUAUUAAAGAAGGAGUCCUAAGGGAGAAAAGAUUGGCGCCUAACUAGACGCCCACAUGCACCCACACCUACACCCAAGGGUGGGGCGGCAACAACCAGCACCC
RNAcentral lists this long non-coding RNA (610 nucleotides) under Elaeis guineensis (African oil palm). Its description in RNAcentral is "long non-coding RNA (EGUI_LNC027365)". The record is from RNAcentral. Lineage: Eukaryota; Viridiplantae; Streptophyta; Magnoliopsida; Arecales; Arecaceae.